RNAcentral lists this small nucleolar RNA (104 nucleotides) under Microcebus murinus (gray mouse lemur). RNAcentral's name for it is "Small nucleolar RNA U13 (ENSMICG00000047488.1)". It matches the Rfam family "Small nucleolar RNA U13". Lineage: Eukaryota; Metazoa; Chordata; Mammalia; Primates; Cheirogaleidae. The record is from Rfam by way of RNAcentral.
AUCCUUUUGUAGUUCAUAAGCGUGAUGAUUGGGUGUUCAUGCGCAUGGGUGAGAUGUGCCUCCCUGAAGCCUUGUUAUGACAUGGGCAUGUUACCCAUCUGAUA